This is a non-coding RNA of Paramuricea clavata, 301 nucleotides long. NCBI's taxonomy places the organism in Eukaryota, Metazoa, Cnidaria, Anthozoa, Malacalcyonacea, Plexauridae. The record is from the annotation of a GenBank genome assembly.
GCGCUAUUUGUUAUGAUUUAUAUAGGAAAUUCGCCUCACGCGCAGUGUCUGUUGAAGAAAACUGGCACUAGGACCUUAUGCGCAGGUCUUUGACUCCAGUUACCUCCAGAUUUGAAGUCUUCGUGAAAUUUGGCGCAUUUUGAUAGCAAAUUCGUGUUUAUUUAUGGCGAUUUAGGAAGGGCAAAAUGUGCGCAAAGAUGUGGGUUUUGCUUGUGUUUACAAGCUCAUUAAUAAUUCAAUUGAUCUCGGCUGUAGAAGAUGGCGAAGGGACGUUUUAGACUCAAUAUCUCCAUUAUAUGUC